ACAAAAUAGAGGAGGAACAGAGUUGGUAGAGGAUUCCUCUUGGCAUUGCUGUUGCUUUUGACUUUGGUUUUCUGUCCUUCCUCUACAGUCCCUAGCACGAUCUUGUGGCUUUUUUGGGGAAGAAAAAAAUACUUUCGGAGCUAUAGAAACAAAACCCAUUGUCUGAUAUGGAAAGAAACCCUGCACCAUGUAGGGAUGUGUUGGUUAUUAUGCAGCAGAGCAGGCCUCAGACAAAGUAAAACCGACAUCAGCAGAGUUACGUGUGAAUGUGAUGUAAGGCAUCAUUUAAGAACAAGCAAAAAUGAAAACCUACAAGAGUCCAAAAUGUUGACUUAAGUCUUCCGAACUUGCAGAACUGUCCAGGUGUAACUGACUGUUUCAGCAAUAUCUUGGCUCUGCAUUUUUCUUAAGCUAGAUUCAUCCUUGCUCACUAACACUAGAUCUUUCAGCUUGAGAUUACUCAAGGGAAAGAGUGCAUUAGCUUUGUUAAAGGUGCAAAGAAUCUUUUAUGCCGCCUUUUAAUUUUAGUAGUAGCAGGUAUUUUGAGAGUUGUAUCUGUUUGCUUUUUUACUUAAUUGCUAUAUGUAUAUUUUCUAACUUCUUACUAGCUACUACUCUGAGAAUGGCAGACAGCCUGAGUAUUUAGCUGUAUAGUACAGUUGUGUGCCAAAUGACUGUAUAACUAAAGGUUAAAGAACGCUGAGGUUAAAUUCUGAAAAUGAAGACAUCUUAGUUCUUACAAAGCAAGGUCCUGCUGCCAAGAAUUGCUAUGGAUACCACUGGUAUGAAGAUCACAUUCAAAGUGAUCACAUAGGUUUAUCUGUAAAUGCUUAGUUCUACAUAUAAAGAUCACUAAAAAUAUUCCUAGAAGCAACUCUUAAGAUAGCAGCUAAAAAGAGCAUCAGCACACAGUAAGGAAAAGGUAUUUCAAAAGGUAAGAGUUUUCUUUUUAUCUUUGCAUCUUCAUUUACAGGAAGACAAAACAGUUGAGCCAAUCUGUCCUCUUUCAGCUCAGGCUUAUGGAACAGAAAUAGUUUACUACAAAGUAUUAAUCAGACAUGUGGCUUUCUGUGAAGCUCUUGGAAUGCUGUUAGAAAUGAUACUGAGUUUUGCACUGUUUAAAUCAAAGAGAUUUAGUAUGUUCCUGACUAUACCAAAGCACACCCUGAGUGCAAAGGCAUUCAGGUGGCCUACAGCACUAGUAUUUCUUAGUUGAGUAAUCUAGAUCUGGUUUAAAACUUUAAAGUUGAUAGUUUUUAUUUAGAAGAAAUAGCAGCUGGGACCAUGUGUGCCUCAGUUCAUCCAGUUGAACUGUAUCAGAACAUCUUCUGUUGGAACUUAUUCUUGGGGGUUUUUGUACCAAUUUUAAGUAAGCUUUGAAUAAGCAGAUAAUUCUUGGCAUCAGUUUGAGUUAGUUUCCGUUUUCCCUCUAGCGAGAUGGCAUAUUUAAUAACUAAAAGGUGUUUUAUGACUAUAACACCAAAGAAGAGUUGUGAACUGUGAAGGCUUUCCAAUUGCAAGCAUUUCAGGUGAUAAACUUUGUUCUUGUACAGUCUGUUCUCCAUAUUCUGCAGCUUUACAGUUUCCUCACGCUUGCAGAUGUGGGCACAGCCACCCUUGUGGGGAUGGAGUGACCCACGCUCGGGGAGCCUGGGGCUUACCAGCCACACACAGGCUCUGCCCAAUGCUCCUGCUGCUGGGAGGGGGAAGGGAAGAGUGGCUUUAUUUCAAUUACUUGACUUACAAAUUUGUAACUUAGCUCAGCUGAUGCCAUGUAAGAUACUCUCCUGUGCUGCAGCCUGGCUGCUCUGUAGCUGCAGCUUGUGCAUCUGACUUGUAAAUGGGACUUGAAACAUAUGGACACUUCCUUAAUAUUUUUACUGAGCAUUAUUUGACAUUAAAUACCUGCUGCCAGGUAUUUUACUCUUUAAAAACCUUAUUGGUACAAGAUGGUGGGGUCUACUUCCAUGAGGUUCUUGGGAUAAAGCUAAUGCAAGCUUUCACCUUGAGGUUCGUGGGAUAAAGCUGAUGGCAAGCUUUCAGUUACUGUGAUAUAAAAGGUGCAAAUGUCUCAUAGUUUUGUAAUUUGGGUUACCUGUAUAUCUUGAAUUUUGGAGUUUGAAUGGGAAUUUCCCAUUAAACUACUCUUAGAGCUGAGAUAUUUUCUAUUUAUGUUGAGCCUUUCACAGAUGUGUGUAGAACUGUACAAGCUUACAGCUGUACUAAUGCAUCUUCUGUAGCUGUAAGAGAACUUAAAUCGUGAUGUAGAUGUCUGUAGAUGCUCAUAUUUGUGGGAAGUCAGGAUCUAAAUAUGUCUUCUCAUCCUGUAUUGCACUUUGUUUGCAGUUAACAUCACAUCUGAAUAAAUAAAACAUUGGUUGUGGAGGGCACCCUUGAAAGUGCCAGUGCAUAGCAGUGUAGGAGUGUAAGGUAUGUUAGAUAGCUAAAACGAGUGUUUUCCUCAAGCCUAAUGGCUUGUCAGAAUGUAUUGCUGCCUGAUCAGUUCAGGCAAGAAAAAGAUAUUAAAGGUAUAAAAAAAUUCCCCAAAUUGUGCUGUGUUUUGGUUACACAGAUUUGUGGAGCUUGAUAGACUAUUUGAGCUGUGCUUUCCACCUGAUCCUGUAGAAAUAGAUCUCUUACUGACUGCAUUUUCAUGAUUGAUUUCCCUAUUUAUGCCAUUCAGCUGUGGGGGUCAAAUAUCUAUCCUGUAACUAGCACAGCACCUGGCCUUGCUCUUCUGCAGUUAUAACAAGCCUGAAGUUAUUCCCAGUUUUUCAGAUUUGAAUGUGGAGAACUCCUCGUGUAGGAGCACCCAGAGACUUCCAUCAGAAUUGUACAGCACUUUAUGCAGCAAAGCUUGGAGACAAUCUAAAGAUACUGUUUGUUCUACAUUGUCUAUUUAUACUUUGGUUGACUGAAAAUAGCUAGGAAAAAGGUUGUUCAUGCCUGGCUAGAAAAUACCCACACCCCGUUACAGUGGAGAGGAGCAGUUUCUUUGAGACAUUCUUUCAGAACACAGCACUUACUCAUUUUCACCCUAUACUGUUUGCAAGUGAUGGUCAAAUCCUCCAAACAUGUCUGGUAACCACAAUGUUUGCCUUAAACUGGAGCUCCUUGCAGGUCUUCUCAGCUGACAAAGUUGGGCUUUAUAAAAACUGCUAAAAUUAGGCAGCCCUUCCCUGCUGAUCUCAUAAUGCUGGAAGAGAAGCUCAGAAAUGGUGUGGGCUUUAAAAAAAUCAGGAUAAAUCUAAUAGAGCACACUUUGUUAAGAGAAUUGGAUGUGGGCCUUUAAGAAAAUGCACCUUUAUUUGCCUGCUGAGUUUUCUUUAGAGUUGUGUCCCUAGUCAGGCAAUAGGGUGGCAAAGCAUAAAAUACAAGAGGCUUUUCACAAAGUGUUUCUGCCAUAAGCUUGUGCCCUGUUGUAAGGUACUAACACCAGUCAAUAUUUGCUGGAGGCUGUUGGGUCUGUGGUGCUUCACCACGUCUGGUUCAGUUGAGUAUUUUUAACAACUGGUUUUUCUUUUAAAUAAAUACAUGGUUUUAUUUGCAGAAUUUCUUAGAGUAAUAGCCCACAGAUUGAUCUUUGGGGUUCUGAAAUGGGAGGGGAUUCUGGCAAGCAAAUAGCCAAAGAUCCCAGUUUUGACACAACAGGCUGAGGAUCCGAUACCAAAUCUUUCCUGUUUUGUUAGCGUGAACCAGCCACUUCUGUAGCUACAUACCGAGGGCAAAGUCAGCAUCUAGAAGUCAGUGUUAAAAGAAUUUUUCAGUUCUAGUAUUCUAGUGGUUGAGAUCUCCACAAAGAAAGCACAGAAACCCAUCUGUUCACAGGGGCUGGGAUUCAAAUAGCAGAUAGUGAAGGAGUAUGUGAGCUUUGUGAUACUAAUAAUAAUAACAAAAAUACAAAUCCUAAGGUAAGUGCCUCAAGUCAUACUUCUUAUUUUGCUAUAUUGCUCUUAUCUUUGGCCUUUUAAUGGCUGAUUUUGAACCUCUGAUACGAAAACUUGGGAAUCCUGAUCCUUUCUGUAGGGUUCCAGGUCUGGCAGUGCAGUUUCUGAUGGUUGGAGUGUUGCUUUGUCUCUCAGAAUCAGAGCUGCUCCUGUGGUAGGAUGCAAGUCCUUGGGUACUAGCAUGUUCAAGGGCUGUCAGUUCUUGCUUUUAGCUGGAUCUAACAGCUUCAGUUGGAGCUUGUGGACGUGUUAGAUACACACUUGCAGUUACCACAUAGGCCAAGAGGCAUGUAGCAGCUCCCUGUGUUAGGCUUUCGAUUUCUGGUGUCCUUGAAGUGCGUUCACACUUACUGUCUUCUCUCUUGCUCAAAAGUCAUUUGAGGUUCUGAGUAUUUUGCUCAAAUGAGAGGUGUGGUGAUGUUACAAGCAAGUUUCCUAUUAAAAUGGUCAUGCUUCUGUAUCACAAAUGACUGGAAUUAAUAACUGUAAUGCA
Strigops habroptila (Kakapo) is the source of this 4440-nucleotide long non-coding RNA. RefSeq lists it as uncharacterized. The record is from RefSeq and is a predicted model, not a curated record. NCBI's taxonomy places the organism in Eukaryota, Metazoa, Chordata, Aves, Psittaciformes, Psittacidae. The transcript has 2 exons.